GCAUAGGUGGCGGAAUGGUAGACGCGCAAGGUUGAGGUCCUUGUGGGAGUUUAUCCUGUGAGAGUUCAAGUCUCUUCUUAUGCACCA
Molecule: transfer RNA, 87 nt
Filed under: Fusobacterium sp. DD1
Lineage: Bacteria; Fusobacteriati; Fusobacteriota; Fusobacteriia; Fusobacteriales; Fusobacteriaceae
Also listed under: 16 other names
Description: tRNA-Leu
Rfam family: tRNA
About the family: Transfer RNA (tRNA) molecules are approximately 80 nucleotides in length. Their secondary structure includes four short double-helical elements and three loops (D, anti-codon, and T loops). Further hydrogen bonds mediate the characteristic L-shaped molecular structure. tRNAs have two regions of fundamental functional importance: the anti-codon, which is responsible for specific mRNA codon recognition, and the 3' end, to which the tRNAs corresponding amino acid is attached (by aminoacyl-tRNA synthetases). tRNAs cope with the degeneracy of the genetic code in two manners: having more than one tRNA (with a specific anti-codon) for a particular amino acid; and 'wobble' base-pairing, i.e. permitting non-standard base-pairing at the 3rd anti-codon position.
Source: RNAcentral